RNAcentral lists this long non-coding RNA (4921 nucleotides) under Homo sapiens (human). Its description in RNAcentral is "HSALNT0369568". The record is from RNAcentral. Lineage: Eukaryota; Metazoa; Chordata; Mammalia; Primates; Hominidae.
AGUGUGAUUGGAGUAGCAGAAGAGACUAGAAGAUGGGGAUGAAGAAGGAAUCGGGUGAGAGCAAAGGAAGGCCGUGAAGCCAUUGUCAGAAAUUUGUCCUUUAUCCUGACUGAGCAGAAGAAACACUGAAGGAUUUUGAGCAGAGGCAUGUCUUGAUUUCAUUUCAUUUUUAGAGGUAUAGAUAAUUCAGGCUGCUAUUUUGAGACUCGACUGAGAAGAGGUGUGUACUGGCACCCGUUUCCUACAGAUGUGUCCCUCCACUCUUUGAAGCCGAGGGCAAAAUCAUGCUGAAGACCUAGAAAUCCCACCAGUCUGAAGACCAGCUGCAACCACAAUGGGUUAGCCCUUUUCAGGAUGCCUCCUCUUCAGCAUAAAGCAGCCAGAAAGAUUGAUGACCAGCUUCCCCAGGAUUGAGGAACUGAUAAGUGGAAAGAGGGGACUGAAACCACCCCAAUUGUCCCGUAGAAUUGAUGUUUAUGAUCUUUUGGAAUAAACAUAGAUAUUGACCCUCAUGGUCUUAAAGAUUGAAAUGUACAUUGCCUGAGUUCCUUCCUCAGAAAACAAAAACUCAGGGCUCUGAGUAUCAAGGAACUGAAACUCACCAGGUCACCACAUCCAGACAAUGAGACAACAGACCCCUUAUUCAUCAUGAUUACUUCCUUCCCCCUCCGUUAUUCCCGUUUUCCCACAUGUAGCUCCAUUCCUUCCCUUUUAUAUAAACUCCCAAUUUUAAUUGAUUGGAGAGGACUUGAGACUUAUCUCUCAUCUCCUCAGCUGAUAUCACCUGAUUAAAGCCUUUCUUUCAUGGCAAUACUCAUUGUCUCAGUGACUGGCUUUCUGUACAGCAAGGAACAGGAUCUAGACCAAACCCCCUGGCAUUUUGGUAACAAGGGGAAUAAGAAACCUAGCCUUACUGACAGUUUAUUUCUUAAGUUGACUUUAUUAAAAGGUCAAGGAAAGAAAACUAGCCCAAAGAAUAAAUGAACAUACCCACUUUAUCACUUUGACAGGUUUAACAAAUUCCUAAUGAAGAAUAAUUUAUGUGUUUGCUCAGGCAUGGUGGCUUAUGUCUGUAAUCCCAGCAUUUUGGGGGGCUGAAGCAGGAGGAUUACCUGAGGCCAGAAGUUUGAGAGCAGUCUGAGCAACACAGUGAGACCACAUCUCUACAAAAAAUAAAAAAGUUAAUUAGGCAUGGUGGCAUGCGCCUGUGGUCCCAGCUACUCUGGAGGCCGAGGUAGGAGGAUCACCUGAGCCUGGGAGGUCAAGGCUGCAGUGAGCUGUGUUUGCACCACCAUACUCCAGCUUGGGUAAUAAAGCAAGACCCUGUCAACAAAAAAAAGUUAGAUUUUUUGUUUGUUUGUUUGAAAAGUGUUAACCUAGGCACAAUCUACAAACUGGCCAAUUUUUGACUUUUGUAACUGUUGUAUAUACAUCUAUAAAUAUAUUCUAAGUAGUUUUCUUAUACAGAACAGCAUAGAAAAAACACAUUAAAAGUCCUCAGAAUUAUGAGUAAUUUGUAUAAAAAUUUGUAAUGACAUUUCAAGGUAAUUGUUUCUAUUGGAAUUGUAAUAACAUCUGAUUGCAGCUUCCUUGAAGAUUACUAAAUAUAUGCAGUGCUAUGAUCCUUUGCUGGGUAAGCAUUGCAGUUUCGUUGCUGCUUAGCUAGUAUGAAAUGUUGGAUUGUAAAAUGUCAAUCGUGUAAUAUAUUUGCUUAUAAAUAGUUACACUCUCAAAUGUUGCAGUUUGUUUAGUCCACUAAAGACAGACUAUAUGCCAUUAUUGAAAGAAAUCUUAGGAAACCUGGCUCCAGAAGAUAUUCAAACAUACACAUGCAUUAUUAUCUGCCAAAUACUACUAGAUCUUGUGGAAAUCUUGGUGUGUUAAAUUUUGUUACAAAAGAUAUACAAGGACAUAAAAGGCUAAAGUUACAGAACUGAAAGAUUGGAUCAGUGUCUUAGAAGCAGGGUUAUUGUAACUUUUGUUUUUUGAAGGAUAACUUGCAGACCAUGCUAAGUGAAGUACUUAAGAAACUUUAAUGAAGUGGAAACUGAAAGAAAAUGACAUAAAAACAUAGGCACCAUUUAAAGUCCUUAAAAAAAACUCAAUAGGCCGGGCGCAGUGGCUCACACCUGUAGUCCCAGCACUUUGGGAGGCCGAGGCGGGCGGAUCACGAGGUCAGGAGAUCGAGACCAUCCUGGCUAACACGGUGAAACCCCGUCUCUACUAAAAAUACAAAAAAAUUAGCCAGGCGUAGUGGCGGACGCCUGUAGUCCCAGCUACUCGGGAGGCUGAGGCAGGAGAAUGGCGUGAACCCGGGAGGCGGAGCUUGCAGUGAGCCGAGAUAGCGCCACUGCAGUCCGGCCUGGGCGACAGAGCGAGACUCCGUCUCAAAAAAAAAAAAAAAAAAAACUCAGUAGAAAUUUUGCAAAAAUACAACCACAGCAACCCAAUGAAUAAAUAUGUAUUUAAUGAUUGCCAACCUAUGAAAAUAUUUUAUAGACUCUAUCUCCAAGCAAGAGCCACACAGAACAGAAUUAAAGUUUCUGCAUCUGAAAGGCUGAUAAAAAGUUAAAAACACUACAUUUGUCUUCAAAAGUAAAUUUGAAUAGUGGUGGUAUUUAGGAGAACAGCCAUUAAAAUCAUACCAUAAAAUGUUAAAUGAUAUUGAAAAUUCAUUUUAAUGCAUAGUUGUAAAAUAACUUCCAAGUAUAUGCUUCCAUAAUAUGCACUUUCAACCAAGGCUGUAAAGUAAUCUGAAGGUUACAAAUGUAUUUGGUGCACCAAGAUUCAAUUUAUAUUAGUCCAUUCUUGCACUGCUGUAAAGAAAUACUGUCAUAUUUUACCAAAAUAUUCAGGUAAUCUUGAAUGUAUUGCCAGCAUACCAUUUUAUAUUUUGAAGAUGAUUGGUAAAAUCUGAGUAUCUUAUAGAUUUUAAUAUGUCAACAAGACUAUUUAAUGGGAAAAAUAAAAGCCUUCAAUGAUUUACAAGUCAUGAGAAUUUUUUCCUAAUGGUUUAUCUAGGUGGAAUGUGUAAUAUAGUUUUAAAUUCCACAUCAGGCCCUACAAGGCAAUCUUGAAUAUCCAGAAAAUCACAAUAAUAGAGUUUCUGCAGUCCUAGUGUUUGAAAAAUUGACAUGUAUUUUUGUUUUCCUAAGAUUUCUUACAUUUAAAAAAACACCUUUUAUCAUUUCCUUCCAAUUUAUAAUUUGAUUUAGUCCUUUCAGAUAAAGCAUGACAACCAAACUUUGAUGUAACAGUACUAGCAUAUUUCCAUCCUUUGAUGGUUGGUACUUUGUGUCAUUGAAUAUAUAUUUUGUGCUUUUUUAUUAAGCAUAAACUCUGCUGGAUGUGCAGGAGGGAAUUACAGCUCUAUUCUACCCCUUCCUUUCCUGUCCCUUCAUAAAAUUCCUGUGAGGAACAGUGUCACUAUGACAGAUCAGGUUUUAGAGUAUUUUAGUUUUUCCUAUGUCUAGGGAGCUAUGUCAAGUUAAAUGUUAGCAAGCUAAAUUUUGGCAUGCAGACAUGAAACUUUCAGAUGAUCUCAUGAGAUAAAGUGAGAUAACCUUAGGGAUAGCUUUCUCCUGGAUUUGACAUAUGCUCUCAUUUGUGCACAUGUGACUUUUAAUGGCAGGGUGGUUUAAUCAGGAAAGUCUUCGUUACAACAUAGUAGUAAAAAUAAUCCCAAUUUCAGUCGCUUAAACAACAAAUAUGUGUUUCUCACUCACACUACAUGUCCAGUGCAGGUCAUUUGGAGGCUCUGUUUGUUUCUCUAAUUCUGCAACACAGACUGAUGGAGCUGCCACCAUCUGAAUACAUGCUCUAUAAUCAUAGAAAACAAUGUGGUAAUUCAUGCAUUAAGUUUUAAAAUUGCUUCCUGAAAGUGGCGUAUGUCGGUUUACAUUUCACUGGCCAAAACAAGUCACAUGCCUGUUCCUAGGUUCAAAAAUGGGGAGAAAGUGCCCUCCUAUCCUGAACCCAGAAGAUGAAAAGUUUCAAAUAUUUCACAAAUACAUCUGACAACUACUAUAAUCAUUCUUUCAGAGAAUAAGUAAAUUACUUCUUGAGCUCUGUGACUGUGGCAAUUGAAGUAGAUGGCAACAUCAGAGCCACUUAGAGUUACAUACUCAGGACUUUGAGCCACUUAGUAUACAUGUUGAUGUGCAGAAUUGCUUUAUUAUGACUAUAAUUCUAUAUUUAAAGUGACAGCCUACAUGACAGUAGAGAUAAAAUGGUUAAAUAGUCAUGUAACUAUUAUAGUCAGAAGCAGUAUUUAAUAAUAUUGAUGAUGAAGUAUGAAGACAUAUUUGAUAUUCUCCAAUAGGAAGUCCUUUUAUUGGUGAAAAUUAAACUAAAAGCUGGUCUCCUCUCCAAAAGGACUUGAGAUAGAAUCCAGUCCACUACCUAAGGUCAAGUAGAAAUUAGAGGCAGUGAUCAGAAGGUGCUCAGAAAGGGUCAUAAAGUAGCAAAAUUCUACAUAUUCAGAUGACAAGAUCAUUCCUAGUUAAUGGGUAAUUGACUGAAAGCAUUUCACACAGCAGGUGAGAUUAAGCUGUCAUAAUAAAGAUUUGAUGGCAUUGGUUAUUGCUGAGGGUAGGAUUAUGGGUGAUUGUUAAUUUCUUCUUUAUAUCUUUUGGUAUUUUUCAAGCAUUAUAAAAUUAAAAUGUAUUUUCUUAGAAAAAAUGAAAUAACCAAUUGAUAGGCCCUCUUUUUUAAAAUUUGUAACGCCUCUUAAGGGUCUUGAUAUAAAGAAAUGACAAUUUAAAUACAAAAUGUGUUGAGGCAUUUCUAUGGUUUGAAUGUGUCCCCCAAAGUUCACAUGUCAGAAACUUGAUCCUCAAUGCAGCCGUUUUGAGAGGUGUUUAGGCCAUGACGGCUUUGCAUGAAUGUAUGCUGAUAUUGUGGGAGUGGGUUCAUUAUUGUA